ACCAAGCCUCCAUGAUGAUCGUGAAAGCCUUUUGAAGAGAAGCCGCUGUUCCUGGCUCAGCUGUCGGCUUAGAAUAAUCAUUUUCUGGCUUCUCUGCUUUCACCUUUGCCCCUCCUCAGAUGUGGAAAAUAGCCGGUCUUCUACUUUGGGGAUGUCCAGUACUCGGUGGAUGAGAGUGCCGGCUACGUGGAGGUGCAGAUAUGGAGGACGGGUACAGACCUCUCCAGGCCUUCGAGCGUCACCGUGAGGUCCCGGAAAACAGAACCACCCUCUGCAGAUGCUGGAACAGAUUAUGUGGGAAUCAGCCGCAGUUUAGAUUUUGCGCCUGGCGUCAACAUGCAGACUGUUCGUGUUGUCAUUCUGGAUGACCUGGGAAGACCCGUGCUGGAGGGAAUUGAAAAGUUUGAACUGGUACUCCGCAUGCCAGUGAACGCUGCCCUUGGCGAGCCCAGCAAGGCCAUGGUGUCCAUAAAUGACUCGGCCUCCGACUUGCCUAAAAUGCAAUUCAAAGAGAGAGUGUACACUUGCAAUGAAGACGAUGCCCGUGUCGUGGCAAUGAUCUACAGGAGCGGUGACGUCCAGCACAGGUCCUCUGUGAGAUGCUACACGAGGCAGGCGUCCGCGCAGGUGAUGAUUGACUUCGAAGAACGCCCAAAUACUGAUGUCUCCAUUGUCACAUUCCUCCCCGGUGAGACCGAGAAGCCCUGUGUCCUCGAGCUGAUGGAUGACGAUAUACAUGAGGCCGUGGAGGAGCUGCAGCUGGUACUUGGCACACCACAGAGCAGCUCUGCCUUCGGGGCUGCAGUGGGCGAGCAAAAUGAAACUCUGAUAAAGAUCCAGGACGAUGCUGACAAAGCUGUUAUCAAAUUUGGAGAAACCAAAUUUAGUGUCACUGAGCCCAGCAAACCAGGAGAGUCCGUGGUCGUCAAAAUUCCAGUGGUCCGCCAAGGAGACACUUCAAAGGUUUCCAUUGUGAGAGUCCACACCAAAGAUGGCUCGGCCACCUCCGGAGAGGAUUAUCACCCCAUGUCAGAAGCCGAAGGACAUCUACAAAUCAGCUCCUCCACCUUCUGUAGUAAGGCCUGCUACUCAGGCUUCAAUAAAACCCAUCAUGAAGUCGAGUUUAAGGAAGGGGAAACCCAGCAUAUCGUUGAAAUUGAAGUCGUCUUCGACGGGGUAAGAGAGAUGAGGGAGGCCUUCACUGUUCACCUAAAACCAGAUGAAAAUAUGGUGGCAGAGACGCAGGCAACCAAGGCCAUUGUAUAUAUAGAGGAAGUCAACAGCAUGGCGGAUGUCACCUUUCCCUCUGUCCCUCACAUUGUGUCCUUGCUGAUAUAUGAUGACACUUCCAAAGCCAAGGAGAACGCUGGGCCUGUGUCUGGCUAUCCCGUUGUCUGCAUUAUGGCUUGCAACCCCAAAUAUCCAGACUACGACAAAACAGGCUCUAUUUGUGCCAGCGAGAACAUCAAUGACACUUUGACCCGAUACCGGUGGCUGAUCAGCGCUCCUGCUGGCCCGGAUGGUGUGACCAGCCCUUUGAGAGAGGUGGACUUCGACACCUUUUUCACAUCAUCCAAAACGAUCACGUUAGACUCCAUAUACUUUCAGCCUGGUUCCCGGGUACAGUGUGCGGCUCGUGCAGUGAACGCCGAUGGGAAUGAAGGCCUGGAACUGAUGAGCCCCAUCGUCACCAUCGACAGAGAGGAAGGUCUCUGUCAGCCCCGUGUGCCUGGGGUCGUGGGGGCGGAGCCAUUCUCAGCUAAAUUGCGCUACACUGGUCCCGAGGACCCAGACUUUGCAAAUCUCAUCAAGCUCACCGUCACGAUGCCACAUAUAGAUGGGAUGCUGCCCAUCAUCUCCACGAGAGAGCUGUCCAACUUUGAGCUGACCCUCAGCCCUGAUGGCACCAGAGUUGGGAACCACAAAUGCUCCAACCUGCUGGACUACAAUGAAGUGAAGACCCACCAUGGCUUCCUGACUAAUGCCACGAAGAACCCAGAGGUCAUUGGAGAGACCUAUCCUUACCAGUACAGUGUGCUGGUCAGGGGCUCCAGUACCUUACGAUUCUACCGAAACUUGAAUCUGGAAGCCUGCCUAUGGGAGUUCGUCAGCUGCUAUGACAUGUCGGAGCUCCUGGCAGACUGUGAAGGCACCAUCGGGACGGAUGGCCAGGUCCUAAACCUCGUGCAGUCCUACGUGACCCUUCGAGUUCCUCUGUACGUUUCCUACGUGUUCCAUUCCCCCGUGGGGGUGGGAGGCUGGCAGCAUUUCGACUUGAAGUCGGAACUCCGGCUCACAUUUGUGUACGACACUGCCAUCUUGUGGAACCAUGGGAUCGGCAGCCUGCCGGAAGCUGAACUCCAAGAACUGCGCUCCACUUUGCGUGUUUCUAUGGGCAUAUCGAUCUGGUUUGUUUUCUGAUAUUUAAGGACUGUGAGAUAAAUGCCCUUGAUAAUCAAAUGUCCACACCACUAAUGAAGGCUGUACAGAGCUGGGAGACAGAGAUCGUGUCUGUCCUACUUGAUCAUGGAGCAGAUCCCAAUAUCAAAGACUGCAACGGAGAAGCAGCGAUCCACCAUGCAGUGUAUGUAGACAGGCCAGAUAUUGCCAGCAGUCUUCUUGAAUUUGGGGGAAACAUUGAAGAUACUACAAAGAACAACACUCAUGUAUGCUGUUAGAUGGGAUUGUGAAAUUAUGGUUGAAAUUUUACUGAAGAAAGGUGUUGAUCACCAGUUAAAGGACACAUUUGGAUGGAGUGCUCUUUAUUAUGCCAUUAUGGGGAAACGCAAAAC
Peromyscus eremicus (cactus mouse) is the source of this 2792-nucleotide RNA transcript. It is a transcript of the gene named FRAS1-related extracellular matrix protein 2-like, with no coding region annotated. The transcript has 16 exons. NCBI's taxonomy places the organism in Eukaryota, Metazoa, Chordata, Mammalia, Rodentia, Cricetidae. The record is from RefSeq and is a predicted model, not a curated record.